GUUAGAAUUGAACUAAACUCAGAAACUAAAACAAAAAAUAAAUUGAAAUACCAAGCAUUCAUAUUUUUACUCAAAUACUCAAAUAGAAAUGGCAUCUUUGAAACUUCAAUUUAUUUGUGGUCUUUUGAUCUCCGUCGCCUUCCUUGCUCAAUCCAAAGGUGGUGCUGCUCAAGAGCUGAAAUGCGCAAUUGUAAGCCCAUGUGAGACACAAGAUGAGUGUGCCUCAAAAUGCUCUAAUAUGGGAUCGUAUGCCCGCAGAGGUCGUUGUGCCCCCCAGCCUGAUCAUCCCGAGGCCCCUAAAGUGUGUCAAUGUUGUAUAUGAAGUACCUUACGGUUAUGAUUUCGAUUAAUUGUUUUAUCUAAUACAGAGUGUUUUUUUUUUGACAAGUAAUGCGCAAUCUCGUAUAUUCUCAUUAAUUUUCAACGUAUAUAUAUUA
Molecule: long non-coding RNA, 437 nt
Organism: Spinacia oleracea (spinach)
Lineage: Eukaryota; Viridiplantae; Streptophyta; Magnoliopsida; Caryophyllales; Amaranthaceae
Exons: 2
Source: RefSeq, a predicted model, not a curated record